AACGAACGCUGGCGGCAUGCCUAACACAUGCAAGUCGAACGAGACCUUCGGGUCUAGUGGCGCACGGGUGCGUAACGCGUGGGAACCUGCCCUUAGGUUCGGAAUAACUCCCCGAAAGGGGUGCUAAUACCGGAUAAUGUCUUCGGACCAAAGAUUUAUCGCCUUUGGAUGGGCCCGCGUUGGAUUAGCUAGUUGGUAGGGUAAAAGCCUACCAAGGCGACGAUCCAUAGCUGGUCUGAGAGGAUGAUCAGCCACACUGGGACUGAGACACAGCCCAGACUCCUACGGGAGGCAGCAGUGGGGAAUAUUGGACAAUGGGCGAAAGCCUGAUCCAGCAAUGCCGCGUGAGUGAUGAAGGCCUUAGGGUUGUAAAGCUCUUUUACCCGGGAUGAUAUGACAGUACCGGGAGAAUAAGCUCCGGCUAACUCCGUG
RNAcentral lists this ribosomal RNA (432 nucleotides) under uncultured bacterium. RNAcentral describes it as "partial 16S ribosomal RNA". It matches the Rfam family "Bacterial small subunit ribosomal RNA", at positions 29 to 507 of the family's 1533-position model. The record is from RNAcentral.